GCCGCGGGAACACCGGCAGCUCUAGUGGUAGCUGUUUUAUUGGGCCUAAAGCGUUCGUAGCCGGUUUAAUAAGUCUCUGGUGAAAUCCUAUAGCUUAACUGUGGGAAUUGCUGGAGAUACUAUUAGACUUGAGAUCGGGAGAGGUUAGAGGUACUCCUGGGGUAGGGGUGAAAUCCUGUAAUCCUAGGAGGACCACCUGUGGCGAAGGCGUCUGACUAGAACGAAUCUGACGGUGAGGAACGAAAGCUAGGGGCGCGAACCGGAUUAGAUACCCGGGUAGUCCUAGCCGUAAACUAUGCGGACUUGGUGUGAGGGUGGCUUUGAGCCGUCCUGGUGCCGAAGGGAAGCUGUUAAGUCCGCCGCCUGGGAAGUACGGUCGCAAGACUGAAACUUAAAGGAAUUGGCGGGGGAGCACCACAACGCGUGGAGCCCUGCGGUUUAAUUGGAUUCAACGCCGGAGAUCUCACCAGCGGCGACAGCAGUAUGAUUACCAGGUUGAUGACCUUGUUUGACAAGCUGAGAAGAGGUGCAUGG
Molecule: ribosomal RNA, 534 nt
Filed under: uncultured archaeon
Lineage: Archaea
Description: bacterial SSU rRNA
Rfam family: Archaeal small subunit ribosomal RNA
Source: RNAcentral